CGUAGGUGUCUGCAGCCAUGUGUAAAGCACGGUGGACGCUCUGUCAUUAUAGGGGGUUUCGUUAAAGUCGAUGGAAUUAUGAGCACAGGAAAGUACCAUCAGUGUAGGUUGCCUCAAAUCUUUUGCGCAGUGCACAGCUACUCAAAAAGCCACUUGAGGCUGGCUCCCCCUGCAGGUCAAUCGCCCAUGUUAAAAUGCCCAGCUUCAUUUUUUACGACUAAUUUCCCCUUCUAUGACGGCCACACAUCUUUGGAUAACUCCACCAUUUAAAUUUUAUCAAAGUUUAAAGUUGUGCUUUGACUUGCUGUAAAGUUACGUCCACUAACAGCUCCUCUAAGAAGUCUGUGCAGUAGUCUUAGUGUGUUUGUGUACUAUCUGAAAUCUAAAUACCAUGUAUCUGUAUCUGUGUGAUGCACUUGUGCAGCUUUUGGUUCUUGUCCAAAUGUGUUCAUUUCUCCUCCAAAAGACCAAAACAGUAAUGGCCAUAAUACUAGAAGGGAGAGCUCACAAACCACUAACUUCUGGGUGGCAUUAUAAUAGAUAUGAUAGAUAUGAUACCAUCCAUCCAUCCAUCCAUCCAUGAAUGAUACCUUCAUUUAAAAAAAAAAAAAAACAAUAGUAGGUCUUAGACUAUCAAUAAUUUACGAUUUCCCAAAUCUGUGUUAUCCAAGAAAUGGCUUCCCGUGUCUUUUUCUGUCCAACCAGUAGUCCAAACUGCAAAAAUCCUCAAUUUAGAGAGAAAAGCAAAGCAAAUCCUCCCACUGGAGAAGCUGGAAGAUGAUCAACCAGCCAGUAAAUUCACUGAUUAUUUGAGCUGUUGAAGCUCUACACCAGCACGGCAAACUGUGAAAGAAAGAAAUCUCAUGCAGCACCUCAUUUUUAGGUGAGUAUAACAUAACAUUCACCAACCCACUGGACCGUUCCACCUGAUCUCUGUUCAUUAACGUACCUCUAUUUAAACUUAACGAUGUACAUUUACAUUUUAAUUGGCAUAGCAUGCAUUUGUUUCAGCCUCAUUUAUCCAGCAGAAAUAGUCCCAUUUUUGUCGGACAGCACGUUCCCCUGUGGAGCCACACAGAGAGCUCCAGACCUGAGACAGGUUCCCUGCUUGAAACUAGGGCAGUGUGUCACACUGUUGCAUCACACCAUGAGGGAUUAAUGCCUUCUGCCAUAUCGGAUUUCAUCCAGCGCACGUUUUGGGCUGGCAUGAUAACAGCCUCCAUUAAAUCUAUCUAUCAUAACUUUAUACAAGUGUGUUUUUGGCAGAGAUGUUGGUGGUGGAGCUGUAAAUCUGGCUAAAUAUCAUUUUGGACAAAGAGCUGCAGAAUAUUUUCUUUAAGUAGUGCAAGCUUGCAGCUAGAAAAUAUGACCUCAAAAAAGAAAAACGAAGCCUCGAAACCACAAACUUACAUAAGCUUAAAAAAAAAGGAAAAAAAAGGAGUUUAAAUAAAAUACCUGAAGGUCCUUUCCGGCCAGCCUUAUCAUGGUGCCUCCCGGGCCCUUCUUUGGUUUCCAUCUGAGGUUCUGUGGUCUCAUCCUCUGUGGUCUCAGAGUCUGAAACAAAGAGAAGGAAAACACUAUGAGAUGAGACGGGAGGAGAAGGUGGAAAUCCAGCAAAGAGGAGCUGAGGUGGAGGGCGGGAAGAGGAGGCUGGAAACAACAAGAGAGCGCAGGUAGAAAAUGACUUUUCACAUUUGCUUAGCAGCAGACGUUUUGAUGGGUCACUGAAAAGAGCUGCGAAGAGCCCCCCCUCCCCUUCCUCCCCCC
Molecule: long non-coding RNA, 1767 nt
Organism: Astatotilapia calliptera (eastern happy)
Lineage: Eukaryota; Metazoa; Chordata; Actinopteri; Cichliformes; Cichlidae
Source: Ensembl